Molecule: ribosomal RNA, 264 nt
Filed under: uncultured Planctomycetota bacterium
Lineage: Bacteria; Pseudomonadati; Planctomycetota
Description: uncultured planctomycete partial 16S ribosomal RNA
Rfam family: Bacterial small subunit ribosomal RNA
Source: RNAcentral
GAGCACGUAGGUGGGUUUGUAAGUCAGACGUGAAAGCCUUCUGUUCAACGGAAGAAUUGCAUCUGAAACUACAAACCUUGAGUGUAGGAGGGGAGAAUGGAACUUCUGGUGGAGCGGUGAAAUGCGUAGAUAUCAGAAGGAACGCCGGCGGCGAAAGCGAUUCUCUGGCCUAUUACUGACACUCAGUGUGCGAAAGCUAGGGGAGCAAACGGGAUUAGAUACCCCGGUAGUCCUAGCCGUAAACGAUGGGCACUAAGUAGAGGG